AUCGGAUUUACAGUGUUUAAAAGCAGUUUAAAACGACAUUAGCAACCUGAAGUAUCAAAAAUGUUUCGAAGCAUUGCAUCGUACGUGCUGUUUUUUAUGAUAGGUUCGACUUAUGCAUGGCCCUCUGCCUUCAAAGAGCCAGUUAAUCCAAGUAAGUAUUGAAAGUACCAUAGGUAAUGACUGAAAAUAAACGACAAAGGUGAAAAUUUUUCACAAUAUUGUGGAUAAAGUUUGUUUAGAGCUUCCAGAGAUACUGACAAAAAGCUGCUUUGAAGGAGCGUUAUUACACAGUUAUACAUUUGAUCGUUCCACCAUGUCCUGUAAGAGAUUCUUCCAUCAUGGUGGAUGUAAGACUUCUCGUAAUCUGUUUAAAACAUUGGCGGAGUGUGAAGAUGUUUGCAAAAUAUUGUAACAAAAUAUAAUUCUUUAUGUUAUAAAAAUGUUCCCUAUUCCGUAUUACACUUCAGAGUUGUGAAGUGUCUGUUGUCAUUAAAAGUCUUUAACAAAUACAAAA
Mytilus californianus (California mussel) is the source of this 514-nucleotide long non-coding RNA. RefSeq lists it as uncharacterized. The record is from RefSeq and is a predicted model, not a curated record. The transcript has 3 exons. NCBI's taxonomy places the organism in Eukaryota, Metazoa, Mollusca, Bivalvia, Mytilida, Mytilidae.